AUGGAACUUCCCGUAUUCCGACAGAGUACCUUCAGUUGAUGGACGCUUCCUAGCUUACGCUGAGGACCACAAGCACCGCACCGGACACCACAACCAACGCAGACUCCACAACCGCCGUAGCUUAACUGGAGUCUCCCCAUAUUCUGUCCACUCUGGAUCAGCUUCUGUCCUCCAGGACUGUGUGGGGAAGACCUCUCCUCCAGGAGAGUGUAUCAAGAACAAGCUCUUAAAAGAGCUAAGUGAUUAAAGCUCAGGGG
Non-coding RNA from Pelobates cultripes (western spadefoot toad), 257 nucleotides. NCBI's taxonomy places the organism in Eukaryota, Metazoa, Chordata, Amphibia, Anura, Pelobatidae. The record is from the annotation of a GenBank genome assembly.